GGCCGCACCAUGAUGGCACAUGGACGUUCCCAGGCUAGGGGUUGAAUCAGAGCUGUAGCCGCCAGCCUACACCAGAGCCACAGCAAUGUGGAAUCCGAGCCGUGUCUAUGACCUACACCACAGCUCACGGCAAUGCCGGAUCCUUAACCCACUGAGCAAGCGCAGGGACCGAACCCGCAACCUCAUGGUUCCUAGUCAGGUUCGUUAACCACUGCGCCACGACGGGAACUCCCUCUUGCUCCUCUUUUUAUGCCCACAGAGCCCCAUGGUACCAGUCGCAGCUUUUUCACACUCAGUAAGGAGGACACCGGGGAGGUGGGUGUUUAAAGGUGUUCUACCUCACCUAGGAAAGUGUGACUUGUUUUGCAGAGUUUUUUUGUUUUGCUUUGUUUUACUAAAACAUACAAUGUCACAAAACUAUUUCAAGAGUCUAUGACUCAUAAAGAAUUUUUGCAGGAAAAAUUUCUCCCCAAAGAAACAACCUGCCAAUUCCAGCUAACGUACUACUCUCGCGUGUGCAUGAUCACUUAGAAACCUUUACCAGUACCUUACCCAAAACUCACACGAUCCAAAGCACCUGAGCCUUGGCUAAUCCAGGUUUGUCUUUAUACAAACCCAUCACCGGGCCUGGCCUGCGGCAUGACCGUGUGCAGGCAAGGCUCAGGGAAGAGACGAGGACAUAGCAAAAAAAUGUAGGGAGUUCUCUUGCGAUGCAGCAGGUGAAGGAUGUGGCAUUGUUGCUUCAGUGCUGGGAUUGCUGUUGUGGUGCGGGUUCGGUCCUGGCUUGGGAACUUCCACAUGCCCCGGGGGAUGCCAGAGAGAGAGAAGGAGGUGACGGUUCCUUCCUAGUUUGGGCUGUUUCCAGGUCAGGGACUCUGAUUGAACUCCAUUCAAUCAUUUACUCAUUCAACAAACGUGCAUUGAGCAUGUGAUGUGUGAUAGGCUGCACAAGCCGCUGGGCAGAUGGCGGUCACAUUCCUUGUCCUCACAGAGCUUAGAGUCUAGAAGGGAAGGGCAGCAUGAAGGACAAGGACAGGGCAACAUGUGACAGAUGUCAGGGUGGAGGACCUGUUGUAAAUGGAGCGGUCAUGGGGGCAGGGGAGCACUCUGGGGAGGUGACUGAGGCCGAGAUUGAAGAAGGCAAGCCGUGCCGAGGCUGGCAGUGUGGUCCAGGCAGAGGGGGGGCGGAGGAAGUAGCAUCGCUGGAGGCUGGUGGGUAGGCAGAGCUUGCCAGAUUCCAGGACAGAAGGUCAGUAUUGGCUUGGCUUACAUUCCAUUUGAUCCCGGAAAUUAAUCCUACAGCCUUAGGUUAAGUCACGAGGAGUUCCAAGAUCCUGCUUCUGAAGGUAUGUUGUUACAGCUAAGUGUCCAUCUAUGCUUAGCUCAUAAUUUUACUCCUGCGUGAAUUAAGAGCCACACGCUGCAUUUAUUUUUCUUUCCUUCAAGUUUCACAUCACAUUUGAAAACACUGAUUCUACAUGUUGUUUCGGUUCCCAGGAUACCACAGAAAGAAACAUGUGCUCCAUUUAUUUACCAUUUGACAUACAGAAUAAAAAAUAUUCGUUCUACUCACUCCUUAAGCUCCACCAACAUUAGAUAUGUUUUAGGGCAGAAAUAUACAAGGUCACAUGUGGUAUCUAUCUGUGGAGUGCAUUUCAAAGAAAGGCACGCCAACAAGCACAUUUGUAUGAAGGCUGUGAAGCAAGAUCAAGGUUGAGCCUGAAAUACCAAUGCACCACCGUCGUAGUUGCUUGUUAACUUGAAUUAACGGUGCCUGCUCUUCUGCAGUCAGAUUUCAUCUACACAUGCAAAGUGAAGUGGAGAAUUGAGUAAAUUAUCUUUAUAUGGGCCAGGCAAUUAAGACCAAAGGUGGUUAGUUAGCCUGAAUUAUCCAGAUUCUGGUCUUAGCAGAAGGCUGCAUCAGAAAGCCAGAAUGAAACACUUUUCUUUUUAACAAUGUUAAAUAAUCACCGUGUUGAUUGGAAGGGUGCUGGGAGAUGGCCAUCAAGGUUAAAGUCUCCCAAGGAAGGAACCAGGCCAUGAAGAAUUCAUGCAGGUUUGCCCAAAGAAGAGAGACCUGGGCAGUCACUAAAUUCCUGCAUGUUUCUGAAACCCAAAGAGAGGGGGUUCAGCUUGGACAAAGCACCUCUCAUAAUAAAGCUUCUGUUAAGGACAGGUUGUAGGGUUUUGCGAAACUCACUCUUUUUGGUACUGUCUCUUCUACCAUGCUCUGGAGCAGCAGUGGGCACAGACACCAGUGUUUCCCAAGGGAAAUGAUUCAUGUCCCAGAAUCUUAACCCUCAGCUCCAACGUGCUUUCCGAGAGUCUUCACACAAGGGUCUACUGAUGUUUGGUGGCUCGGGCUUUCCCCCUCUUACCUCGCCUCCUCAAGAUCCCAGUUACAGAAGUAAUGGAAGGGAAGGAUUUGGAUACUAUCAAGUCCAUAAAGCAGCUCUCUUACAUUUAAAGUUCAGCUUGGUGUUGGCAAGAGCCUAGGCUCAAAGAAUCACAGUCAAUGUUAGUUCUGUCCCUUCUUGGCGAUGUGUUUUUGGACAAACUGCUCAGCCUCUCUGAGCUGCAGUUUCCUAGAGGUGAAAUGGAAUCCUCAGACUUACUUUAUGAAAUGAGUUAGCAAAUUCAAUACCAUUGUAUGUAUUCCCUGUGUGGUACACAGGCACUCAACUUAAUUUCUUGCCCCUGUAUUUUAAAGAUACUUAGAGUAAGUCCAGGAUAGGAUCUUAAUAAACGUAUCUUAAAUGAGUUAGGUAGAUAGAGGACAGAUAGAUGGACAGACAGAUAGAUAAUAGGUAAAUAGAUGAUAUGUAGGCAAGUAGGUGAUAUGUAGGUAGGUAGAUAAAUAAAUGGCUAUAGAGAUGAUAGCUAGAUAGACAGAUGAUAGAUAUAUAUAGAGAGA
RNAcentral lists this long non-coding RNA (2914 nucleotides) under Sus scrofa (pig). RNAcentral describes it as "lncRNA (ENSSSCG00015051886.1)". Lineage: Eukaryota; Metazoa; Chordata; Mammalia; Artiodactyla; Suidae. The record is from RNAcentral.